RNAcentral lists this long non-coding RNA (225 nucleotides) under Elaeis guineensis (African oil palm). Its description in RNAcentral is "long non-coding RNA (EGUI_LNC015177)". Lineage: Eukaryota; Viridiplantae; Streptophyta; Magnoliopsida; Arecales; Arecaceae. The record is from RNAcentral.
AAGGAUGAGAAGCCACGUUUCAAGAUGCACGAAAAGAAAUGCAUGGAAAAAGUUCUAAUUGGUCUUAUUUACAUUUGUUUCUAGAAUCUUCUUUUAAAAAGAUAAAUAAAAUAUUGGAUGAAUAAGGAAAUAAAUUUUAGAAAAUAUGAUAAUGAUUUACUAGCGUAUAGAGCGAGAAAGAAGCCAUGUUAUACAAGGAUAGAAAGAAGCCAUUUCAUCAAGCAU